ACGAUUUGAAAGGGAAUGUCUAGUGCUGGGGACCUUGAUUGAGAACCGUGCACAUUCUUCCUUACUCAUCCAUCUUACCACUGUGAACCUUUUGUAGGGUCUUGCGAAAGUGAGGCUCUAUGUUUUUACACACCCCAUUGUAUGUCCUUAGAAUGUCUAUGUAUCUAGUAUGCUCGUGAGGGCAGAAAGAAACAAAUAUA
Molecule: unclassified non-coding RNA, 200 nt
Filed under: uncultured fungus
Lineage: Eukaryota; Fungi
Description: sequence contains ITS1, 5.8S rRNA gene
Source: RNAcentral